RNAcentral lists this long non-coding RNA (4410 nucleotides) under Triticum aestivum (bread wheat). RNAcentral's name for it is "long non-coding RNA (TAES_LNC001660)". Lineage: Eukaryota; Viridiplantae; Streptophyta; Magnoliopsida; Poales; Poaceae. The record is from RNAcentral.
UGCAUGCCCCCACAUUCAGGUUAAUUUUUCUACUUAAUCGUUUACUUAACCUGUUACCGUCAUGAAUUAUCUACAUAGAGAAUAUACAUUUAAUUUUCUUCUACCUCUUGAAUGUUUCCAGAUUUGCUCAUAGAAAAUUUUUAAAUCAGUGUCUACAUGUGAUUAAUUCAUCUCAUUUAUAAGUUUGUUCAAGGACAUAUGUUAUAUUUUUUCAUUUCUCCAGCAGUUAUUCUCAAAAGAAAAAUGUUUUCUUGGUAUAGCCAAGAGUUUGGUCAUGUAUCCUAUUUGUAAUAUUUUAUUUUUAGCAUAUCAGUUUAAUAUACUAAUAUUGACAACAAGAAUGCUCGCGAUGAUUUAAAUUUCAUAGAGUAAGUUCCACUAAUUCAGAUUAUAACUUGUUGUUUUCUAAAGCCUGCUCCUAUACAAUUCUAAUUUGGAAAUAAAAUGGGAGUCAUGCAUGGGUGGUUUUGGGAUUCAACUAAGGAUUUGUCAAGGCUUUCUGGUUUUGGUGUCACAUUAUCAAGUCCAUCCAACGAUCUACCUUUCAAACAAGAAGAGCAUUCACCAGGGGAGCUAUUAUUGUAUCUAUGUUCAAACCUGGAGUCGCCAGAGGUAAUAGGUUUGAUUUUCAAGUAUAAUUAAUAUACAUAGAACAUAAAUCUGUAGAAAAAGGAUAUCAUUUAUGGACCUGUAUCUUGUAUUUAGUCAAUCCUCACCAUAGUCUUUGACCUACCAUUCGUUAAAGGAUGUACAUGCAUGCAUAUAUAUACACUGAGUAUAAACAUAGGGAAUUCGCACUAAUAAAAUUGCUUCCCUCUAGAGUGGUGGAAAAUAAGCUCAUGUGCUAGAGAAAGCCGUCAAGUUAUGAUCUAGGGCUUGAGAAGGUAGUCAUUUCGUAUAUAUUAUCUUACCAGCAAUGCAGUCAUGUUUGUUAUUGUAGUAAAUAAUCAUUUUGAUAAAUAGCUUUUUUAUUGGCUUUAGUUAUCUAUGCUAUCUUCAAUUCAAGAGGAAGUUCUCUAUAGCAGUACAACUUUUGAAAUUUUGCAUCAUAAGCCACAACAUGAAAUGAAUUGCCAUAUUAACUUAAUUUAACAUGAAGAGUAUUUGGCUCCACAUAUUUCUAUCAAUUGAAAGUUGAAUAAAACUGUUGCUUAUUGAUUGAUUUGGUGCGACAUACAAGAGUAUAUAAGAGGGUACAAACUGACUUGGGGUAGGGGUACAAAACUGACUUGGACUAGAAGUCGUAUACCAUAAGGACUACUCUAACAUCCCCCCGCAGUAUCAACGGCAGGCUCGACGACGUUGAGACUGAAACAGAUAUCUUGAAACGACUUAGUAGGCAGUGCCUUGGUGAAAAUGUCAGCAAACUGAGCCGUAGAGGGAACAUGAAGCACCCGAACCUGACCAAGAGCAACCUUUUCACGAACAAUAUCAAUAUCAAUCUCAAUAUGCUUUGUGCGUCGGUGUUGACCUGGAUUGCCGGUCAUGUAGACUACUGAUAUGUUGUCACAGUAGACAAUAGUGACCUGCUUAAUAGGCCUGUGUAGCUCGGAGAGUAAUUGCCGAAUACAUAUUGUAUCUGCAACGGCAUGUGCCACAGCGCGAUACUCAGCCUCGGCCGACGAACGUGAGACUGUAACCUGUCUUUUCGAAGACCAAGAAAUCAAAUUGUUACCAAGAAAAACACAAAAACCGGAAGUGGACCUUCGAGUGUCAGGACAACCAGCCCAGUCUGCAUCAGAGUAUGCGGUAAGCGAGUUUGGAGAAGAAUUAUUGAGGUGGAGACCAUGAUUGACAGUUCCUUUUAGAUACCAAAGAAUGCGUUUAACAUGAUUAUAGUGAGGAACCCGGGGAUCAUGCAUAUAGAGCGUCGGAGGUGAGGGUGGCGUUGGGAGCAGUGCCGGCGGAUAUGAUGGUGAAGGCAGUAGGGCCGGUUGGGGAGUGUAGUAGGUGCCGCCGUCAGUGGAGUAGUGACCAGAAGGAGCAUACGUCGGGACGACGUGAGAGGCAUUGGCCGGCUGUGGUGAGGGUGGUGUCGGGAGCAGGGCCGGCUGAGGUGUGUAGUAGGCGCCGCUGUCGGUGGUGCAAUGACCAUAAAGAGCAUACGUCGGGGCGGCGUGAUAGGCAUUGGCCGGUUGUCGGGGGUUGAGAACCCCGGGAGCACCAGUAGGCGGUGUCGUGGUUCUAAGUCUGACAGUAGUGUAUGGGGGUAAGUAUGGAGAGGCAAGAUCUUAGCUAUGGAGAAGUUGUAAGCACGCAAGGUUUACGAGUUCAGGCCCUUCUCGGAGGAAGUAAUAGCCCUACGUCUCGGAGCCCAGAGGCGGUCGAUUGGAUUAUGCGUGUAUGAAUUACAGGGGUGCGAACCCUUGUCUCGGAGGAGGGGGGUUGCUUAUAUAGAGUGCGCCAGGACCCCAGCUAGCCCACGUUACAAAGGGUUCAAUGUACAUUAAGGCAGGGCGUUACUGGUAACACUAGUAAUAAAGUGCUAUGAUGACCAUAAAAGCUACUUAAUAACCGACCGUUAGCAUGCGGAGUGCCUUUAGGUCUCCUGACUGUUGAGUGGCUUGGUUUUGGUCGAGUGGUUGCUUCUUGGUCGAGUAUCUUUGAGUCUGUCGAGUGGAACACCUCCAAGUCGAUUGAAAGAUGAUUUCUUCUGGAGAUGUCCUUGGGUAGGUCAGUUUGGACAGGUCCAUGCCCCUACCCUAGGUACAUAGCUUCAUCAUUAGCCCCCGAAUGGAUCGAGGUUUGCGUGGGAAAGGCAUUGAGCACUUCUCCGACUCAUUUUUCAUGCCAUGAGCAUUUCUUGUUUCGGAUCAAUGAACCUGAGUGAUGGCAGCGACUUCCUUUCUAGUCGCCUUGAUCCAUUCUUAGGUUUUUGUCGAGUGAAUUUCUUUACUUGAAAGGCUCCGAGUGACGGUGCGGAGGAGACCUUUGGUCUGACAAGUUGUUUCGCUGCCCGCAGAUUUCGUGGGAUCCAAAUUUUUGGAAGCGCGCGGGACGGGGGAGGCCAUAGUAAUCGGAUGGGAUAGAGCGGAGCCGCCUCGAUCCCCACGCCACCUUUUUCACCAUGUAUCGCGCGCGCGAUUGUUACGGGAUUUGACAGAACCGCCCGGGCCUGCCAGUCAGCCACUCGGAAGCGGCCUCAUAUAAGGCGUUGGACUGGGGUCCCCCGAACAGUGCGUCCCCAUUAUCUCUUCUCCUCUUCACGCUCCUCUGCUGCGCUCACUCUCGCCCUCACGCCAUCGUUCCAUACGCGUCUCGCCGGCGACGAUGGGGAAGGAGAAGACGACGGCUCUGGAGCGGGCAAAGAAGGCGACGACGAGGUCGAAGGGGAAGGCGACCAGUCGGGGCGGAUCCUCCUCGCGAACCAGCCUGCCGAAGGGCUGGAUCCAGGGCGACUGGAUCCACUCGAGGCUCACCCAAGAAGACCUCGACGACCUGGCCGAGGGAGGGCUGAUCCCCUAUGACUCGGCGCAGCUUCCGGGGAAGGAAUCCGAGCCGCAACCCCGGGAGGGUGAGCGAGUUCUUCUUGCCACCCACGUCGACCGUGGAUUUUCCUUGCCUCCUCACCCUUUCUUUCGAGGAUUUCUGAACUUCUUAGGGGCACAACUCCACCAUUUUACUCCCAACACAAUCGUUUAUCUCGCCGCUUUCAUUUCUUUGUGUGAGAAUUUCCUGGGUUGCCGGCUUCACUGGGGUCUUUUCAAGCAUAUUUUCACUUGUUGCUCCCAGACAGUGAAAAAGGCUAAUCCGAGUGAUGAGAGGACCCAAGUGAUCCAGAUGUGUGGGGGUCUUGGUAUCUAGAUGAGAGGGAAAAGCUCCUUUCCGGCCAUGAUUCUUCCCGACUCAGUUCGCGGAUAACAGUCGACCUGGUUUUACUGUAAAGACCAGUCGAUGCCAGGGCAAUCGACUGGCCUCCCUCCCUUUACCAUGGACCGAGUGAGGAAACCAUCCCCUUUGAAGGUGCUCCCGGAGGAGAAAGCGUAGGUGAGGGUGCUGGUCGAGCGAGUGGUCCAGCUUAUCCGUGACGGGGUCACCGGUAUGGAUCUCUUGGAGGUCUUCCUCCAGCGGCGCAUCCAGCCUCUUCAAGCCCGAGACCAUCCGAUGUGGAUGUAUUCGGGUCUUGAAGACUCCACUCGGAUUCACCCGGAGGAGGUCGAUGACGACACACUGGAGAAGUGGCUGUCGGGCAUUACCGGAAACAAGGAUAACCCCAGGGGAGCCAGGAGAGUUCCCCCAUUCGACCAGUCUCAUGCACCAGAGAAGGUCUAAUUCUGAGUUUUUGCUUGUAAUCUGAAUUCACUCACGCAGCUGCCUAUACUUCGUCGACUGACUUUGUUCUCCCUGCUUUCUUUCAGGCCAUUAUUGAAAUGUAUUCAAUGCCCAACGGAGAGCAAGAGCAAGCUCUGG